Molecule: long non-coding RNA, 4538 nt
Organism: Antechinus flavipes (yellow-footed antechinus)
Lineage: Eukaryota; Metazoa; Chordata; Mammalia; Dasyuromorphia; Dasyuridae
Exons: 2
Source: RefSeq, a predicted model, not a curated record
GAGAGAGAGAAAGAAGGGGGAGACAGAGAGACACAUAGAGACAGAGAGACAGAGAAAGGAGAGAGAGAAAAUAUUCUCCUUUGCUUUCUAAUAGGACCAAUUACAUCAUAGGAGAUGUUUUGACUGAAUGAUGAAUUGGAUUUAAGUCAGACAGAUUUGUGCAGUAAUCAGUCUCACUCUUUCUUCUCUCUUCAGUGGCAAGACAAAGGUUAAGAUGAUAGUUACAGACUGGGAUGCAGUGGCUAACCUUGGUAUCUUUGAUGUCUGACCAAGCUCUAAGUGCCAUUGGACUUCCUGGUCACCUUCAUGGUGGAUGGACCAAAUAGUUCUCGUUCAUCCAUUCUGCCAGGGAAAGUCUUCACAUGCUUGGGGCGGAUAUCUCUUUAACUCAGUGACAGGUUUAAAUCUAUUGGCUAUCCUCAACCUGGUUUAGCUCAUCUGCCAAGAUCAUUUUACAGAGUGGGGUGGAGGCAAAGGAGGAGGAAGAGGUGGCUGAUCACCAUACUCCAAUUUCUUGGAGACACAGCAUGAGAGCUGAGUGUCAGGUAAACAGCAAAGGUGAAUGAGCAGCCCUGAAAAGGGCCCAGAAAGCCCUCACAGCACAAGUGCUAGUUUUCUUUGAAUACUCUAUACACCCCAGAUCAGUGGUUCUCAAAGUAUGGUCUAGAGAAUCCUGGAGAUCUCUGAAACCCUUUUAGAAGGUCUACAAAUUCAAAAAUAGUUUUUAUUUCCAAUAUGGUAAAUGUUUAUAAAUAUAAUCCAGAUAAACAAAAACGCUUUGGAGAGAUCCUCAAUCAUUUUUAAUAGGAUAAAGAUACUGAAAACAAAAAUUUGAUAACCUCUGCCCCAGAUGGAAUAAUAGUACCAAAGGCAGAAAAAGAGGGGUUAGCCUUGGCAAGGAGAAAGUCUAUUUUUUUUCUCAGAGACUGGUUCAAAGGUGGAGAGAAUGAGAGCCAAUACCAAGAAAAUUUGAAGUGUAGACUUAGGGAGAAGGGGGAGUUUAAGAUUCUGUGGUUAGUCUUACAAUCCAAAUCUCUCAUACUGAAAAGAAUUGGAGAAGACUCAUUUCUAUUGUACAGCUAUUCUCUCCAACUGAAGUUUAGUCACUGUCCCUCUAUAAGCUGUGCUGUCAUUGGUCAUCAGUGGGCAGAGGAAGCAAGUAAGGAGCAAGGUUAAUAAAUCCAAUUAGUGUGGAUAUUAGUAUCUGGUAGUAUUUUUUUUUUUUUGGCUCCCUGAUAACUUCUCCCUGACACCACAUAUUUGGGGUAUUCUGCCCUUGUUCUACUGCAAACUAGUAUUGACACAGGAUCAUAGGUCGAGAGGUGGAAGGAUACUUUGGCAGUCUUCUCACCAAACUCCUUUAUUCUACAGAAAAAGAAACUAAGACUCAGAGAAAUUAAAUAAUUAGUCAAGAUCAUAUGGAUUGAAGAUGGCAGGGUCAAUAUUUGAGCACAAGUCCCUGCAAUCUAAAGGGAAUAUACCAUCCAUGAUACCAUUAACUUUCUCUCCCAGGAUGAGAGUACCAAGUAGUUAAGCAACUUGCUGAGGAUCAUAGAAAUAGUACAUUUAAAGCAGGGCUUGAACCCAUCUCCCUGAAAAUGCUUCUCAAUCAAAGCACAACAAUUUAGAAGGCAACUCUGCUAACAAAUAUUAUUCCCAAGUCAAAUUCAUUUAUUAGCUUUGAAUGAGCUAUUGUCCUAGAUCAAUUCUGUUCUUUUUCAUUAGCCCAGAUAAUAACAAAACAUUAAAUUCUAGGGCCUCAGCAUCUUGCUUAACCAUCCACACCUCUUUAACAGGUGAGAAAUGGUCAAAGGCACCAGAGAAAAUUAUAGUCCCUUCCACACCUCUGCCUGUAUAGAUGUAAUUCACUCAAAGUAAAGCUAGAUAUAGGUAUAAUUACUGAAAAUGGAAUUAUAUUUUAAAAUCACAUGGAGGAGGAAUAACUUAAGGAAACCUUAAGGUGAAAUUUCCUAAAAAGCAGAGAAGUGUUUAUAGUGUACAUAGUAUAAAUUAUUGCUUUGUGAUUCCUCUACUUGAGGGUGUGUGUGUGUGUAAUAGUGGAUAGGGAACUGGUCUGCCUCUAAAACUAAAUCAGAGGCUGAAUGCUCCUGGGCAAGUCACUUAAAUUUCUAAGACUUUAAGAUAUAUAGUAGGUACCAAAAUGCUUUAGUCUAGGGAGUUAGUUCCCUGCACCAAUGAAAUUCCAAUUUCGUUUUUUUUUUUUUUUUUUAAUCCUCUACUAUAUGAACAGAAGGCUUUGAAUAUUGGCUUCUUUUCAAGUUUGUGGUAAUGAAAUUGGCACUUUUUUUUGGAUUUGGGAGCUGAUUUAACAGCUGAAAGCAUCACACCACUCAUUCACAUUUACAAAACAGACCAAAGUUCAACAAAACCUUUCUUCUCAUGACCAUUUGUGAGCUUCCAAAGCAUUUACAGAUAGCUUCACAAAUGAAAAGUUAAGCGGAAUAUAAGAACACAAUCAUACUCCAUGAACUACUAAUAAAAUUUUUUAAAUCCUGCCCCCCCCCAGCAAUCAAUUUUCUCAUUUAAUAUGCUAAAAUUAGCCUAAAUCACCAAUGCUCAAUUUAGUAUCAUUCAAAGAGUACCAGUUUCUUAGAAUUAGAAGUGAUCUUAGAGGUCAUUUAAUCCAAUACCCUGCCUGAAAAAUAAACCUGUUAUUAUCUAUUAUGUUUAGAGAUAAGAAUCCCUUAUCUCUAUACAGAUGACUCCUAGAUCUAAGUAGCCCACCCCGGGCUCUCUCCUGACCCCCAAUUCCAUACCACAAAUGAUUUAUUAGGCACUUUGAACAGGAUAUCCCCUUGGCAUUUCAAACACAAUAUGCCCCCAAAAGAAAUUAGUCUAUUUUCUCACAAACCCACCCUUCUUCUGCACUUCCCUAUCAUUGUUGAAGCCAUCAUUAGACUUUCAGUAAUCAAGGUUUGAAACUUGGGUCUCAUCCUUGACUCUUCAUUCUCACUCAUCCCAUGGAGUUGCCAAAUCUUGUUUUUUCUCACUCUGAGACAUUUCUCAAAUUCACAUGGCCAUUAAUCACCAUUAAUCACCAUUAAUUAAUUGCCUGUAUUAUUUUGGUAGUUUCUUUUUCCUAUUCUGGUCUCUCCCCACUCCAAUUCAUGUUCCCCAUAAUGGCCAAAGAAAUUUUCCUAAAGGACAGGUCUGAACAUGUCAUCCCUCUAUUCAAUAAACCCCAGUAGCUCUCCAUUACUUCUGGUGUCAAAUAUAAGCUCUUCUGUCUGACAUUUAAAAUUCUUUCCAGCUUGAACCAUUCUCAUUGUUGUAGCCAUUUUACACAUUACUCCUCUCUGCACACAAAGAGUCCAGCUGUUCUGCACAUGUGAUGUUCCAUCUCCUUUUCCCUGGAUGUCUUCCAGGCUUAAAAUGUACUCCCCUUCCUCACUUCAGUCUCUUGGAAUUCCUCAUUCCCUUCAAGAUCAAGCUGAGUUGCCAUCUUGUAACCUCCAUGUAGCCUAUUCUGAAAAUAUCCCUAUAGGGAUAUUUUGUAUAUAUUUAUGUGAACAUCUUGUUUCCCCCAUUAAUAAAUAACUUCUUUGAGGGCAGAGAUGGUUUCAUUAUUGUCUUUAAGAUGCAGAGUUUGAGUACUUGAUGAAUGCUUUUUGACAGAGUGAUUAAAAAAGUGAACAUACAUAAGUGUGAAGCUCUGAUGCUUAUUCUAGAUUCAAAAUCCUUGGCGGAGCAGGACAGUAAGUUAACAUAUAUAUUAUGUGCUUAUCAACCAAUCAAUCAAUCAAUCACUAUUUAUUAGGCCCCCAUUAUGUGUUGGUCAAAAAUGCUAAAUGACUUUGGAUAAAAAAAAAUUAGCUUGCAAUCUAAUAAAGGAGACAACAUGCAAAUAGCUAAAUAGGAGAAAUAGGGGAGAAUUUCUGAAGAAAGGAAAGAUUUCUUGCAUUAAGUGGGCUUUUAGUUGAGAUUUAAGUCAACUUUUUAAAUAUAUUGUUCACAAUUCGUGAAGUGCUCUGUCCUAGUCCUGACCAAGAGGAUACAAUCUAGCUAAUAAGAUUAAAUACAAAUCAGUGGAAAAAUAAGCAAUACAACCCGGAUUACCAGUCACAAGCUAAAGGAGAGGCAGAAAGAUCCAAAGCUAGGUCUCGGGCCCAGCGGACAGAGAGGAGCUCCACUCUGAAUCCCGACAGAGGAGAUUGGGGAAAGGGGAUCUCAUUUUGCACUUUUGUCAGAAAAAAAGAGCAGGGCUUAGAAUACGCAGGGCCCGCAACUACGACUCGCAGCCAAACAGAAAAGCAAAACUGAAACCUGGAGGGAAAGGGCCAGGGCUGGGGGUGCAAUGGCGGUAGAAGAACGUGAGCUCCACCGUGGUCAUACCGGGCCACUCCCUUCGGUUCGAGCUCGCGGGAACCAGCACCAGGCUUGGAAAAGGGACUUUUUUGGCUUAAAUUUCCAAAACAUCUGCAGAAUGGAGCAGCUGAUCGCCCUCCCUCUACAAAAGGCUUCAAUUAAAUCUUAAAAAAAAAAGAUCAAUUAAAUUAAAAAUUCGUUUAUUCAUCAUA